GUAGUCGUAGUCCGGAUUGGAGUCUGCAACUCGACUCCAUGAAGUCGGAAUCGCUAGUAAUCGUGGAUCAGAAUGCCACGGUGAAUACGUUCCCGGGCCUUGUACACACCGCCCGUCACACCAUGGGAGUGGGUUGCAAAAGAAGUAGGUAGCUUAACCUUCGGGAGGGCGCUUACCACUUUGUGAUUCAUGACUGGGGUGAAGUCGUAACAAGGUAACCGUAGGGGAACCUGCGGUUGGAUCACCUCCUUA
RNAcentral lists this ribosomal RNA (252 nucleotides) under Salmonella enterica. RNAcentral describes it as "partial 16S ribosomal RNA". It matches the Rfam family "Bacterial small subunit ribosomal RNA", at positions 1282 to 1533 of the family's 1533-position model. The record is from RNAcentral. Lineage: Bacteria; Pseudomonadati; Pseudomonadota; Gammaproteobacteria; Enterobacterales; Enterobacteriaceae.